RNAcentral lists this ribosomal RNA (599 nucleotides) under Neohelicosporium griseum. Its description in RNAcentral is "eukaryotic LSU rRNA". It matches the Rfam family "Eukaryotic large subunit ribosomal RNA", at positions 36 to 656 of the family's 3401-position model. The record is from RNAcentral. Lineage: Eukaryota; Fungi; Ascomycota; Dothideomycetes; Tubeufiales; Tubeufiaceae.
AAGCAUAUCAAUAAGCGGAGGAAAAGAAACCAACAGGGAUUGCCUUAGUAACGGCGAGUGAAGCGGCAAUAGCUCAAAUUUGAAAUCUGGCUUCGGCCCGAGUUGUAAUUUGUAGAGGAUGCUUCGGCUUACGCACCGGUCUAAGUUCCUUGGAACAGGACGUCACAGAGGGUGAGAAUCCCGUUUGUGGCCGGUGCUUCCGCCAUGUGAAGCUCCUUCGACGAGUCGAGUUGUUUGGGAAUGCAGCUCUAAAUGGGAGGUAAAUUUCUUCUAAAGCUAAAUACCGGCCAGAGACCGAUAGCGCACAAGUAGAGUGAUCGAAAGAUGAAAAGCACUUUGGAAAGAGAGUUAAAAAGUACGUGAAAUUGUUGAAAGGGAAGCGCUUGCGACCAGACUUGCCCGCGGAUGCUCAACCGGUCCUUCGGCCGGUGCACUCUUCCGCGGUCAGGCCAGCAUCAGUUCGGGCGGUCGGAUAAAGGCCUUGGGAAUGUGGCUCUCUUCGGGGAGUGUUAUAGCCCUUGGUGUAAUACGGCCUGCCUGGACUGAGGCCCGCGCUUCUGCUAGGAUGCUGGCGUAAUGGUCGUAAGCGGCCCGUCUUG